AUAUCAAUAAGCGGAGGAAAAGAAACUAACAAGGAUUCCCCUAGUAACUGCGAGUGAAGCGGGAAAAGCUCAAAUUUAAAAUCUGGCAGUCUUUGAUUGUCCGAGUUGUAAUCUAGAGAAGCAUUAUCCGCACUGGACUGUGUACAAGUCUUCUGGAAUGAAGCAUCAUGGAGGGUGAAAAUCCCGUCUUUGACACAGACUACCAGAGCUUUGUGAUGUGCUCUCGAAGAGUCGAGUUGUUUGGGAAUGCAGCUCUAAAUGGGUGGUAAAUUUCAUCUAAAGCUAAAUACUGGCGAGAGACCGAUAGCGAACAAGUACCGUGAGGGAAAGAUGAAAAGAACUUUGGAAAGAGAGUUAAACAGUAC
This 365-nucleotide ribosomal RNA is filed under the name uncultured fungus. RNAcentral describes it as "eukaryotic LSU rRNA". It matches the Rfam family "Eukaryotic large subunit ribosomal RNA", at positions 40 to 398 of the family's 3401-position model. Lineage: Eukaryota; Fungi. The record is from RNAcentral.